Molecule: small RNA, 263 nt
Filed under: Oryza sativa Japonica Group (Japanese rice)
Lineage: Eukaryota; Viridiplantae; Streptophyta; Magnoliopsida; Poales; Poaceae
Description: sRNA OsWD40-34
Source: RNAcentral
ACGACGUGGCUGCAUGACAGUGAGCAACGCAUUGCAAACACAUCAUCAUCAUCCUCCAUUAAUUAAUCAUCGCCACCGUGCUCGACCGUGACGCCGCCAUUCUUAAUUAAUCUCUUCUUUGUGUUUGUGUUUCUGUUUAAUCACCACAUUUUUCCUUCCAUUUUCUUCUUUUCCUUUCUAUACUAAAAAAAGGGAGAAAGAUAUGGAUGUAAUGCUCAAGUUGUCAGAGAGGAGGAGAAGAGGAUGACUGAUGGAUUAAGAUU